RNAcentral lists this ribosomal RNA (497 nucleotides) under uncultured bacterium. RNAcentral describes it as "partial 16S ribosomal RNA". It matches the Rfam family "Bacterial small subunit ribosomal RNA", at positions 28 to 507 of the family's 1533-position model. The record is from RNAcentral.
GACGAACGCUGGCGGCGUGCCUAAUACAUGCAAGUAGAACGCUGAAGAGAGGAGCUUGCUCUUCUUGGAUGAGUUGCGAACGGGUGAGUAACGCGUAGGUAACCUGCCUUGUAGCGGGGGAUAACUAUUGGAAACGAUAGCUAAUACCGCAUAACAAUGGAUGACCCAUGUCAUUUAUUUGAAAGGGGCAAAUGCUCCACUACAAGAUGGACCUGCGUUGUAUUAGCUAGUAGGUGAGGUAACGGCUCACCUAGGCGACGAUACAUAGCCUACCUGAGAGGGUGAUCGGCCACACUGGGACUGAGACAAGGCCCAGACUCCUACGGGAGGCAGCAGUAGGGAAUCUUCGGCAAUGGGGGCAACCCUGACCGAGCAACGCCGCAUGAGUGAAGAAGGUUUUCGGAUCGUAAAGCUCUGUUGUAAGUCAAGAACGAGUGUGAGAGUGGAAAGUUCACACUGUGACGGUAGCUGACCAGAAAGGGACGGCUAACUACGUG